Molecule: non-coding RNA, 185 nt
Organism: Nicotiana attenuata
Lineage: Eukaryota; Viridiplantae; Streptophyta; Magnoliopsida; Solanales; Solanaceae
Source: Rfam
AUACCUUUCUCGGCCUUUUGGCUAAGAUCAAGUGUAGUAUCUGUUCUUAUCAGUUAUGUGAGUCAUCGGCUCAAACGAUAUUAACUUAAUUUUUUUAGAGGAAGAGUCCAUUAAGGUAGCUUGCUACCUGGGCUCUUGAGCGUCGCCCAUGUGUUGCACUAUUGCACGGGCCUGGCGCACCCCAC